ACCUUUGUGAAUUGUUGUUUUGAAAUAAUUUUUUUUAAAAUUAUUGAUUGUCUUCCCUGUUGAAUUGGUUUCUUAUGGCAAAUGAUUCGCAGGGAGUGUCAGUAAUUUUUAAAAAGACCUUUUUUAAAAUUAACUUUUUGUAUUCAUUUGUCUAAAUUAUUUUAUAAUAUAAAACAACUUUUGACAAUGGAUCUCUUGGUUCUCGCAACGAUGAGAACGCAGCAAAAUGCGAUAAGUAGUGUGAGUUGCAGAGUACGUGAAUCAUCGAAUCUUCGAACGCAUAUUGCACUUUUAGUUUACUAAAAAGUAUGUCUGUUUGAGUAUCAGUAAAAUAUUCUCAUAAAACUUUUUGUUUUAUGGUUAUGAGUGUUUACAACGAUACAAGUUGUUUCACUUUAAAUUUUUUUAAAUUGAAUUUUCUAAUUUAAAAUAAAAUUGGAUAAAUUUCCCGUAAAAAGGAAUAACCUAAAACAAUUUUAAUUUUUGAUUAGAUUCUUCAAUUAUAAAGGAAAAUUUAACUAAAUAACUUGAUCUCAAUCAGAUAAGAGUACCCGCUGAACUUAAGCAUAUCAAUAGCGGAGGAAAGAAACUAACAAGGAUUCCUUAGUACGGCGAGUGAAGCGGAAGAGCUCAAAUUUGAAAUCUUCAAGUUUACCUUGACGAAUUGUAGUUUAAGAAGUGUUUCUGUUGAGUUUUGGUAAAGUUUUGGAAUAGGAAUCAUAGAGGGUGAGAAUCCGUAUUUGACAUUUUUCAGCUGUUGAUACACUUUCAAGAGUCGGAUUGUUGGGAAUGCAGUCAAAUGGGUGGUAAAUUUCAUCUAAAGCUAAAUAUGGCGAGAGACCGAUAGCGAACAGUACGUGAGGAAAGAUGAAAGAACUUUGAAAAGAGAGUUAAACAGUACGUGAAAUUGUCAAAGGGAAGCGUUUGACACCAGUGUUGUUUCUCGAAAAUAAUUAAAAAGUUGAUUUGUGGUGUAUUGACUUAACAGCUUGCUUCACUCUUUCUUGCUUUUUUAAUGCCUUUCGUUUACAAGUCACAUCAGUUUCUUUGUGUAAAGGGUCAUUGGAAGGUGGCUUUCUCUUCGAGAAGUGUUAUAGCCUUUGAUCUCUGCAAUGGAGAGACUGAGGUCUGCAGCGUAGAUCUUCGGGUUAGAUACAUUGUGCUAAGCUACAGCUUUCAUAGACACUUGUUGACUAUGUUUAGUCUUGUAACUUACCGCUAUGCUAUUUUACUACGCUUAGGAUGUUGA
This 1249-nucleotide unclassified non-coding RNA is filed under the name uncultured Neocallimastigales. RNAcentral's name for it is "partial contains internal transcribed spacer 1, 5.8S ribosomal RNA, internal transcribed spacer 2, and large subunit ribosomal RNA". The stretch from base 529 to 1249 matches the Rfam family "Eukaryotic large subunit ribosomal RNA", at positions 1 to 630 of the family's 3401-position model. The record is from RNAcentral. Lineage: Eukaryota; Fungi; Neocallimastigomycota; Neocallimastigomycetes; Neocallimastigales.